AGUGAACGCUGGCGGCAGGCCUAAUACAUGCAAGUCGAACAGCAGCACGGCAGAGCUUGCUCUGUGGGUGGCGAGUGGCGGACGGGUGAGGAAUACAUGGGAAUCUGCCCAGUCGUGGGGGAUAACGUAGGGAAACUUACGCUAAUACCGCAUGCGCCCUUCGGGGGAAAGCCGGGGACCUUCGGGCCUGGCGCGAUUGGAUGAGCCCAUGUCGGAUUAGCUAGUUGGCGGGGUAAUGGCCCACCAAGGCGACGAUCCGUAGCUGGUCUGAGAGGAUGAUCAGCCACACUGGAACUGAGACACGGUCCAGACUCCUACGGGAGGCAGCAGUAGGGAAUAUUGGACAAUGGGCGCAAGCCUGAUCCAGCCAUGCCGCGUGAGUGAAGAAGGCCCUCGGGUUGUAAAGCUCUUUUGUCCGGAAAGAAAAGCGCCGGGUUAAUACCCUGGUGUCCUGACGGUACCGGAAGAAUAAGCACCGGCUAACUUCGUGCCAGCA
This 496-nucleotide ribosomal RNA is filed under the name uncultured bacterium. RNAcentral's name for it is "bacterial SSU rRNA". It matches the Rfam family "Bacterial small subunit ribosomal RNA", at positions 29 to 513 of the family's 1533-position model. The record is from RNAcentral.